UUUGUAUCCCCAGUCCGGCCCUGAGGACCACUAUAGGCACCCAGACCACUUCAGCUCAAUGAAGUGGUCUGGGUGCCAGGUCCCUCUAGUUUUAACCAUGCAGCUGAAAACAUAGCUGCAGGGUUAAUCCAGCCUCUGGUGGCUGUCUUACUGACAGCCACUAGAGGUGCUUCUGCGAUUUUCACUGUGAAAAUCACAGUGAGAACACUCUGACGUCCAUAGAAAAGAAUUGAGUGAUGCUUUCUUAUGGGCUGAUUGAAUGUGCACGCACAUUUGGUG
Non-coding RNA from Pelobates cultripes (western spadefoot toad), 279 nucleotides. NCBI's taxonomy places the organism in Eukaryota, Metazoa, Chordata, Amphibia, Anura, Pelobatidae. The record is from the annotation of a GenBank genome assembly.